RNAcentral lists this long non-coding RNA (1320 nucleotides) under Malus domestica (apple). Its description in RNAcentral is "long non-coding RNA (MDOM_LNC016403)". The record is from RNAcentral. Lineage: Eukaryota; Viridiplantae; Streptophyta; Magnoliopsida; Rosales; Rosaceae.
CAGUCCUGAUUUCAAAUUUGUUAUCCACUUGAUGUGAUUUGAUUGUUUGAACCUAUUUUCAUUAUGGUACACCACUUGAUCAUUAUAUGAAUCGAAGAUCCGACCGAUGGGUCGUUGCCAAACUUUAAUGCAUUAUAAUAUGUAAUAUUUGAGGACAUUAGAAACUUACGGAUUGGGAAUCCGACAUACGGAUCUUCCCGAAUUGAACUUCUAAGUUUGUAAAACCAAACAUUGACCUCCUCUUAAUUUUAGCGACUGGCGGAGAUCCGACCGUUGGAUCAUUCCAAAAUUUUAAGAUAUUGUUCUAGAAGAUUAAAGAGACUCUUAGGAAGUUACGAAUCAGAAAUCCAUGAGCGGAUGUUCCAGAUCGAAUUAUAUAGGGUUGUGGAACCCUAUGUGAUAGAAAGUUGACUUUUGGUUAAUAUGUUAUGAAUUGAUCUUAAAUAUUAAAAUUAGUAAUACUAGAGACUAUGUGGGUCGUAGUAGGCCUAUAUUGGUUCGUGAGUUAUCCCAGAUAAUAUAUACCUCGAUUUACAUGUAUGGGACACCUUAUUGUGAGAUAUAUAUGUGUAUUUACUUUCUUGAUAAUAUGAAUGAUAUGUGUGAUAACUGUCAUGACAAUGUGAGCCUAAAAUCCUAUUAGAAAUAUUUUGUAGAACUUAUAUGCUUAUGUGACAUUUUAGUUAGUGGCCAUGAGAAGUUGAUAGUGCAGGUGCCUACAUUGUAUGUAACGCCCCACCCCGAAAUAUUUAUUUUCGGGAAAUAAUUCCGAUGAUAGGCCCAAUUUAAACUCUUGCUUAAUUUACUACCAUUAACCACGAGUCUUGACUUCAAUUCCUUAAUUCCUCACAAAACUAUAUCCAUAUUUUAAUUAUCAAAACAACGAUUAAAUUAUCAAUUUAAUCCCCAAAUUUCUUCUAUUAAUUUCUUAACAAAAGAUUAAUUCUCAAUUAUUUAGGGCUACAUCUAACCCUUGUUAGACUGCCUACGUACCCUUGAGUGGGAUUAAGCCUUUCAUAGUUCACCAUUAAAUCUUAAUCCAUUUUCGAUUAUAUUCCAAACAAACGAAAUAUCCAACAUUAGUUCUAAUGAUUAAAACACAUCCAAUGGGUACCAAAUUUGUAUUUAGAACAUCCAAUCGGCCCACUGGUCACGCGCCGUCGUAGAUGGCGGUUUCCAGCGAUCGAAAACUCAAUUUUUCGACUAACUCUAAAAACUACCAAAUUUUACAGGUAAGUAGAUUUGAAUGAGAGGAACAACUUUCAUACUUGGGCUGAAGUCCAAUUAGGCCAGGAAACACCUCAAAUUGCCCUUGAACCA